Molecule: RNA transcript, 2601 nt
Organism: Ailuropoda melanoleuca (giant panda)
Lineage: Eukaryota; Metazoa; Chordata; Mammalia; Carnivora; Ursidae
Gene: SPMIP6
Gene name: sperm microtubule inner protein 6
Exons: 7
Source: RefSeq, a predicted model, not a curated record
CCAAAGUUUUGAGGUGCAGCUCUCUAUCCUCAAUUCCUCCACCCUCCCCUACCUCCUCUCGUGCAGGGACCCUGGUUAGGUGAUGAGAAAACACCAAAGGAAAGCAAGGACAAAGAAGGCACCUGCAGGGCCUACAAGGUCCAUACUGGCCCCCCAUCUGAACCUCCCUCUGUCACCCCGGUCAGCAUCCCCAUUCCAUCAGCCGGGCCCCACAGCCAAGUUUCCUACCACUACUAUCAUUACCCUGGGCUCCCUGACUCACCCUUCUAGAACACGGGUCCCUCCUCUUUUCCGGGCAGGGCCCCCACGAGGGCUCAUUUAGACUACUGCCUUUGCUGCUGACUUGCUCUAUGACUGGCCCACUGCUAGACCUCUCUGGCCCUGAGGAACCAGGGAAAAGCUCCCCACCCACAGGACACACUAGCUCCCUGGCAGGCAAGGGCUUCCAACUGAGGCAGUAUACAAGUGGUGGAGAGAAGUAGGAAGCUGAUAGCCAGCACCUUCUGGGUCUAGGAGAGUGUGUGGGUCCCUCCUUCUGGAGUGUUGGAAGGGAGGAAUUGAGGCCUUAGCUUGCCCCCCCAUCAUCCUUCCCCCUUGUAGAUACUGCCUUAACACUCCCUCUACCCUCAGCCCUGGCUGCCAAUCAGCCAGGUUUCUCCGUGCUCACUAAUUUAUUUCCAGGAAGGUGUGUGGAAGACAUGAGCCGUGUAUAAUAUUUUUUUUAACAUUUCCAUCGCAGUAUUGACCAUCAUCCUUGGUUGUGUAUCGUGUAACACAAAUAAUGAUAUUAAAAGCAUCAAACAAGCCAGCCUCAGCUCCCUACCUGGGUCGUGGGCAAGGGGCAGGUGGGCUGGGAAGGGGAGAGAACUGAUUCUCUGGAUACACAUUUCACUCUGCUUCCACUCAUGGGUUCCCAGGCCAGCCCAGCCCAGCCCAGCCACUGAACUGCUGCAUGACCCUGGACAAGUCACUUGAAUCCUCGGAACCUCCAUUUCUCUUCAUCAAAACCAAGACCCCCAUCAGCACCUACAGUGACUCCUACAGGGCUCCUACCUCUAUCAAGGAGGUCUAUAAAGACCCACCUCUGUGGGCCUGGGAAGCCAACAAGUUUGUGACGCCGGGCCUGACUCAGACCAUGCAGCGCCACGUGGAUCCUGAAGCCCUGCAGAAGAUGGUCAAAUGUGCUGUGCAGGACUACAGCUAUAAGGGUUCUAUACCAGGCCACCCCUACUUUCCUGAGAAAUACUGGCUCUGUCAAGAGGAAGAGAAAUGGAACCCAUACUACCUAUGUGAUGACCGGUAUAACAUAUGGAGGAUGGGGCCUUACAACUGCACUGGCUGGAACAAAUAUACCACAUGCCUUCCCCGGCUACCUAAGGAGGCCGGAAUGGAGACAGCUGUUCGAGGAAUGCCUUUGCAGUGCCCUCCUAAGCCGGAACGACUCAACGCCUACGAGCGUGAGGUGGUGGUGAACAUGUUGAACUCGCUGUCACGCAACCAGCCGCUGCCGCAGAUCACGCCCGGAUGCGGAUGCGUGGACACUCUGCCCGGCCGCCUGUCCUUCCAGGGUUAUGAAAGCCCUUGCUCCGGCCGCCACUACUGUCUUCGUGGGAUGGACUACUACACCACCGGAGCACCCUGCAAGGAACGCCGCUUCCGGCCUUUGUGCACAGAGCAGCGGACUGCAAGGUUCCCAGGGCCGCUCCCGCCUUAAGCAAGCCCCGCCCCCAAGAAGCCGUCCCCCGCCCCCGAGUUCAGCCUUAACCCAGCUGUGCGCGCUCCAUCCCUCACCAGUUCCAGCUCUUCUCUGCCUCUGCGCCAGAUCCUGCCCCGCCUCCCACCGCCUCAAUCCCCUUACUGGGCGCUGUCCUGUCCCGCCCUCCAGCCCCGGGGCCUGAGCUGACCGCUGGGACCGGGACCGGAAAACCCGCACGAAGAUUCCCCCAGGUUCCCGGCCCUGUCCGUCCUGAACUGGGCUCAAGGUCAACCUGGCUCUGGAGGCCCCGCCAGAAAGUUUUUUUUUGCUUGUUUUUUGUUUGGGGGGCUUUUUUUUGAGGAAGAAACCCCACACACCAGUCACAUCCCCUUCCCACACCUGGUUCCCUACGUGGACACCCGGCCCUAGAGACGCAGUUUCUAGCCUGUGGAGUGCCAUGUGUCCUCAAAAAAGAGGCCUCUAUUCUUGGGUCUCAGGUCACCGUCGAUAAUGGGCAGGGUCAUUGCCGUGUGUUAUGUGAGCAAGGAAAUGCUAACCGCAUUACCGGAAGAGUCCUGGCCUUAGAGCCCCGCACCACCUCUUAAGGUAGACAGCCUGGCUCAUUACUGCUAAGGAAACUGAGGCCGGAGCGCUCAGCUGCAACCCAGACUGCCGCGCAACCACCUUCCUGCGCCAGGUGGCAGUCGAGGCGGGCGGAGCCUGGGAGAACUCCAAAGUCCGCGUGGGUCUACAGAGCUUGCGGAGGAAAGAAAGGGGAGGAGGAGGGAGUCCUACAUCCUGCCCCUACCCCACGAUGGGACACAAGUCACUUCAAGAAGACCGGUGGCCCCCAGAGAAACAACUAUGUCGUCCACCCUGAGUUUGUGUCUGAAACCUAUCCUGAC